Podarcis lilfordi (Lilford's wall lizard) is the source of this 69-nucleotide non-coding RNA. Lineage: Eukaryota; Metazoa; Chordata; Lepidosauria; Squamata; Lacertidae. The record is from the annotation of a GenBank genome assembly.
GCAAAUCUCAGUUGGUAGAACAUGAGACUCUUAAUUUCAGGGUUGUGGGUUCAAGCCCCACGUUGGGCA